Pseudoliparis swirei is the source of this 1135-nucleotide long non-coding RNA. RefSeq lists it as uncharacterized. Lineage: Eukaryota; Metazoa; Chordata; Actinopteri; Perciformes; Liparidae. The record is from RefSeq and is a predicted model, not a curated record. The transcript is spliced from 3 exons.
CUUCAGCUGCUUCCUCCACUGGAGCACCUGUGCACACCGGCCCCUCCUCCUCCCAGGAAUCACAAGAGCCGUGGUCACUUCUAACGGCCCUGAAGCACGAAAUUCAGAAAUCGAGCUCACAAGAUGACAUUAUGACGGAAGAUGCGUCACAAAGUGAAAUCUCCUUCAAUACAGACACUUCUCCAGAUGUAAAAUGGAGCACAACAUCGGAGGAUUUUACUUUUGUUGAAAGUGAAGAAAGAACAGAAUUAAAAUCCUCAGAAUCAAUAUCUGCUGUUCAGCCGGUCACUGAGGGUGCUCACACAGAGACGACCGCUGACCCCAGACGAGCUGUGAAGACUCUAAGUCUACGAAGACACUAUAGGAGCCUUCUUCGCAAGAGGCAGAUACCCGGGGCCAGUGGGAAAAUUUGUCCUGGAGUACGAGAAUCCUCGCAGCACGUUAGCCAAGUCAGAGACUCUUACCGCUGGGUCUUAAGCAUCCCGAGCAAGAACCUACGGAUGAACUUCCAAGAGGUGUUGGUUGAUCUGAGCUCCAAGAACGAUCGAGGACUUUAUCAGGCACGAGUCAGAGCAGCAGUGGGAGGACGACCUUUGACCUUCUACAGUCUGGUGGGCCUAGAGAUGGAGUCAUUCUACCGCAGUGUGCCAAGGAUCAUCGCUUUCGCACUGGAGGCACUCAAGACUUAACUUUAUAACAGCAACAAGCAAGAUGACAUGAACAAUAAAAACAGACUCACAUGAGCGAUGAGAGCACAAAGACUCAAAAAGAAGAGUUUGCACCAGAGAAGCCUCGUCACGGGACAGAGACUCAAACGUGACUUCUUCUGCCGUCUCCUGUGAAAAGCCUGUUUUUGUUUCCCCUGUCCGACAACCUGACUCUAAAUGAAAACACAACCAUGAAUGUAUCACUCCAACUGUUGCCGCCCGUCAUUUUGUUUUUUAACGCGGUUGUCUAACUUAUGAAUCUGUAUAAAAUGAUAAGUUAUUUGUCUUGUGCAAAGGUUGAGCCUCUUGUGAAGCACACAGACUGUAUAUAUUAUUCUUACAAUAUUUAUUUGUAUCGAUGAAAAGUAUUUGUAUUUAAAAAUAAAAUAAAAAUAAACUAUAUAUAAAUAAAAUUGUAAUUAAUUCUA